CGCGAAUGGCUCAUUACAACAGCUAAAAUCUACUUGAUCUUGACACAAUCCUACUUGGAUAACUGUGGUAAUUCUAGAGCUAAUACAUGCAUUAAAGCUCUGACCUUCGGGGAAGAGUGCAUUUAUUAGAACAAAACCAAGCGGCUUCGGCUGUUUCUGGUUGACUCAUAGUAACUGAGCUGAUCGCACGGUCUUGCACCGGCGACGUGUCUUUCAAGUAUCUGCCGUAUCAACUUUCGAUGGUAGUGUAUCUGACUACCAUGGUGAUCACGCGUAACGGAGAAUAAGGGUUCGGCUCCGGAGAGUUCGCCUGAGAAAUCGCGAACACAUCUAAGGAAGGCAGCAGGCGCGAAAAUUACCCACUCUCAGCACGAGGAGGUAGUGACGAAAAAUAACGAGACCGUUCUCUUAUGAGGCCGGUCAUCGGAAUGGGUACAAUUUAAACCCUUUAACGAGUAUCUAUGAGAGGGCAAGGCGGUGCCAGCAGCCGCGGUAAUUCCAGCU
This 504-nucleotide ribosomal RNA is filed under the name Cervidellus vexilliger. RNAcentral describes it as "SSU rRNA". It matches the Rfam family "Eukaryotic small subunit ribosomal RNA", at positions 88 to 590 of the family's 1831-position model. Lineage: Eukaryota; Metazoa; Nematoda; Chromadorea; Rhabditida; Cephalobidae. The record is from RNAcentral.